AAAUUGUACUUAUUUCAAUCUCAUUGGCUAAAAUAUUAUUCAUUACAAUAACAAUGUCUUCAAAUGUUGGUAAUUAGAAAUAGAAUGACUAGAAAUGCAAUUGCAAUGACAGUUACAUCGCAGGUCUGACAACAAGGCAUGUUUAUUCUAGGCGAAUCUCUCUGCUCUAAUCUCUUCUUCAUUCCACGUUGCCAGCAGCAAUAACCACUUCAUCAACUCAGGAAAAUAGAGCUAUUCACAAAAAUAAACUUUUGCAACUUGCACUCCAAAAGCCUCAGCAAAUCCAACCAUGUUAUUCAACAUGAGAGCCGCUUGCAUCCUAUCACCUGUGAUUCUUAUUAUCUGUGUAAACUUUUCUAACGGAGGUUCUAUCUCUAAAAGUGAAAUGGGAACCAACAUCAAGGAUCAGUUGACCGAAAGGAGUAUUUGCAUCGAGGAUGCAAAUUGUUCCCUUCUAGAGUACUGUGAAUACGAAGAAUGUAAAAUGUACGGAUGGAUCAUCGCCGUGAUUGUCAUCGUCGUCUUGAUUAUUCUUCUGGCAAUAAUUGUGUGUUGUUGUCGCUGUUUCGCUUGUUGUUGCUUCAUGAUGCCCUGAAUGUUUCAUAGCAAAAGUGGUGGUCGUGACGAACCAAGCUGGCCGUCGGAAUUUUGUUAAAUGAGACCCUGUGAGACAUCACAAGUUAUGCAUACUUAAACUAGCUCUGCACAUAUUAUUACGCUAUAGUCAGAUUUUCAUCUAGAUCGUAAAAUAAAAAUAGUUAAUUAUGCUA
Tigriopus californicus is the source of this 770-nucleotide long non-coding RNA. RefSeq lists it as uncharacterized. The transcript has 2 exons. NCBI's taxonomy places the organism in Eukaryota, Metazoa, Arthropoda, Copepoda, Harpacticoida, Harpacticidae. The record is from RefSeq and is a predicted model, not a curated record.